This 69-nucleotide transfer RNA is filed under the name Hylobitelus xiaoi. Its description in RNAcentral is "tRNA-Gln". The record is from RNAcentral. Lineage: Eukaryota; Metazoa; Arthropoda; Insecta; Coleoptera; Curculionidae.
UACACUUUAGUAUAAAAUGUAUAAAAGUUUUUGGUACUUUAGGAAAUAGUGUUAGUCUGUUAGGUGUAG